AGGUGCUGCAGUGGCUGUCGUCAGCUCGUGUCGUGAGACGUUCGGUUAAGUCCGCUAACGAGCGCAACCCUCGCUGUGUGUUACAAGUGUCACACGGAACUGCCGGUCAUAAACCGGAGGAAGGUGGGAUGACGUCAAGUCAGCAUGGCCUUUAUAUCCUGGGCUACACACACGCUACAAUGGGAAGGGACAAUAGGUUGCGAAGCCGCGAGGCGGAGCCAAUCCAGCAAAACUUCCCUCAGUUCAGAUUGCAGGCUGCAACCCGCCUGCAUGAAGUUGGAGUUGCUAGUAAACGCAGGUCAGCCAUACUGCGUUGAAUACGUUCCCGGGGCUU
This 334-nucleotide ribosomal RNA is filed under the name uncultured Anaerolineaceae bacterium. Its description in RNAcentral is "bacterial SSU rRNA". It matches the Rfam family "Bacterial small subunit ribosomal RNA", at positions 1036 to 1382 of the family's 1533-position model. The record is from RNAcentral. Lineage: Bacteria; Bacillati; Chloroflexota; Anaerolineae; Anaerolineales; Anaerolineaceae.